RNAcentral lists this ribosomal RNA (295 nucleotides) under uncultured bacterium. Its description in RNAcentral is "partial 16S ribosomal RNA". It matches the Rfam family "Bacterial small subunit ribosomal RNA", at positions 335 to 621 of the family's 1533-position model. The record is from RNAcentral.
ACUCCUACGGGAGGCAGCAGUGGGGAAUAUUGCACAAUGGGCGCAAGCCUGAUGCAGCCAUGCCGCGUGUAUGAAGAAGGCCUUCGGGUUGUAAAGUACUUUCAGCAGUGAGGAAGGCGGGUACGUUAAUAGUACGUGCUCGUUGACGUUAGCUGCAGAAGAAGCACCGGCUAACUCCGUGCCAGCAGCCGCGGUAAUACGGAGGGUGCGAGCGUUAAUCGGAAUUACUGGGCGUAAAGCGCAUGCAGGUGGUUUGUUAAGUCAGAUGUGAAAGCCCGGGGCUCAACCUCGGAAU